RNAcentral lists this ribosomal RNA (564 nucleotides) under Trichoderma helicum. RNAcentral's name for it is "eukaryotic LSU rRNA". The stretch from base 178 to 331 matches the Rfam family "5.8S ribosomal RNA". Lineage: Eukaryota; Fungi; Ascomycota; Sordariomycetes; Hypocreales; Hypocreaceae. The record is from RNAcentral.
GUGAACGUUACAAACUGUUGCCUCGGCGGGAUCUUCUGCCCCGGGUGCGUCGCAGCCCCGGACCAAGGCGCCCGCCGGAGGACCAACCAAAAACUCUUUUUGUAUACCCCCUCGCGGGUUUUUAUAUAUCUGAGCCUUUCUCGGCGCCCCUUCGUGGGCGUUUCGAAAAUGAAUCAAAACUUUCAACAACGGAUCUCUUGGUUCUGGCAUCGAUGAAGAACGCAGCGAAAUGCGAUAAGUAAUGUGAAUUGCAGAAUUCAGUGAAUCAUCGAAUCUUUGAACGCACAUUGCGCCCGCCAGUAUUCUGGCGGGCAUGCCUGUCCGAGCGUCAUUUCAACCCUCGAACCCCUCCGGGGGGUCGGCGUUGGGGAUCGGCUCCCUCUAAACCAGGGUGCCGUCUCCGAAAUACAGUGGCGGUCUCGCCGCAGCCUCUCCUGCGCAGUAGUUUGCACACUCGCAUCGGGAGCGCGGCGCGUCCACGUCCGUAAAACAACCCAAACUUCUGAAAUGUUGACCUCGGAUCAGGUAGGAAUACCCGCUGAACUUAAGCAUAUCAAUAAGCGG